Phyllostomus discolor (pale spear-nosed bat) is the source of this 143-nucleotide long non-coding RNA. RefSeq lists it as uncharacterized. Lineage: Eukaryota; Metazoa; Chordata; Mammalia; Chiroptera; Phyllostomidae. The record is from RefSeq and is a predicted model, not a curated record. The transcript is spliced from 3 exons.
CUCAGUAACAUUUUACAGAAUGCUACAAAAUACACAUAUAUACUAACUUAAAAGAUAAAAUACUGUAUUUUCACUGUUGCCAGCAAGAGAGCAUAUCUUUUCUUUUGCUGCUAAAAAUCAACUGCAUCUUUAAAAAAGUCAUU